This 406-nucleotide ribosomal RNA is filed under the name Cerataulina sp. RNAcentral describes it as "partial large subunit ribosomal RNA". It matches the Rfam family "Bacterial large subunit ribosomal RNA", at positions 2081 to 2485 of the family's 2925-position model. Lineage: Eukaryota; Bacillariophyta; Thalassiosirophyceae; Eucampiales; Eucampiaceae. The record is from RNAcentral.
CAGAAAGACCCUAUGAAGCUUUACUGUAGCCUGGAAUUGGCUUCGGGCUCUUCUUGCGCAGCUUAGGUGGAAGGCUGAGAUCGCGUUCUUCCGGGAACGCAGGAGCCAUCAGUGAGAUACCACUCUGGAAGAGCUAGAAGUCUAAUGGCGAUCCUUGAAUCAGGACGCUUGACAGUUUCAGGUGGGCAGUUUUACUGGGGCGGUAGCCUCCUAAAAGGUAACGGAGGCGUGCAAAGGUUUCCUCAGGCUGGACGGAAAUCAGCUGUAGAGUGCAAAGGCAAAAGGGAGCUUGACUGCAAGACCUACAAGUCGAGCAGGGACGAAAGUCGGCCUUAGUGAUCCGACGAUGCCGUGUGGAAGGGUCGUCGCUCAACGGAUAAAAGUUACUCUAGGGAUAACAGGCUGA